AUGAGACGUGUGCGUGCCGCUUUGCGGCGCUGGUGCCGUUCAAAGCCCAGCCUGCGGGUUCUCUUGGAUAACAAUAAGCACGUUGUUGCUUAUUUAAAUGCUGUUGAGGAGCUCAGGUCACUUUCUGCUGUUGAAACUGUGCUCAGGGUGUUUGCUACUGCUAAGGCCGAACAACUGAUCCUUUGGCAGACUGCAGCUUGGCGCCGCAGGGCCAAGGUUCGUUGGUGUGUUUCAGGGGAUGAAAACAGUCAGUUUUUUCAUGCUGCGGCUAACUGUCAGGCUCGUCGAAACAAGAUCAAGGUGCUGGUUCAGGAUGGUGUGGAAUUUUUGCAGACCAACCAAAAGCUGCAGUUGGCCACCGACUAUUUUAAAGCUAUCUUGGGACAGCCCGCGUCCUCGUUGGACACUGUGGACCUUCCUUCUCUCUAUGCCCCGCUUGACCUUUCUGAGCUCACAGCAGAUUUCUCGUGGGCAGAGGUGGUGCAGGCCAUCAACUGCUCGCCAAGUAACAGAAGCCCGGGCCCUGAUGGUUUCACUAAUGAGUUUUACAAGGCUUUCAAACUGCUUAUAAAGGAUGAUUUGCUCCGGUUCUUUGCUGCUUUUCAUAAGAACAAAGUGGAUCUCUCGGGCAUCAAUUCUGCUUUUAUUACCCUGCUCCCUAAAAAAGAUACGCCUCUGGAGAUGCGAGAUUUCAGGCCUAUUUCUCUUGUGCAUAGUGUGCCAAAGUUGGCCUCUAAAGUCCUGACUAAUCGGCUCAAGGUUUGGAUUCCACAGUUGGUUCACUCACUACAAUCUGGGUUCCUGAAGGGCCGUUCCAUAGUCAAGAACUUUGCUUUGGCUACUGAAAUGGUCCAGUAUGCGCACAAAAGAAAGCUGCCGGUCAUUGCCCUAAAGCUGGACUUUCAUAAAGCCUUUGACAGUGUCAGUUGGUGUUGCUUACGCAAGAUUUUUGAUGCCAGAGGUUUUCCGACAGUGUGGAUCAAUUGGAUACACACCCUCUUGACUUCUGGCAGCUCCAGAGUGCUUCUCAAUGGUGAGCUGGGGGACCCCAUUCAGGCAAAAAAAGGCUUUCGGCAAGGGGAUUCUUUAUCACUGUAUUUAUUCAUUCUUGUUGCCGAUGUGCUCCAAAGGAUGCUCUGUCAGUUGUUUCAAAAUGGCUCGUUGGUGCAUCCCCUUGGCUCAGACUGCUUUUUCCCGGUCCUACAAUAUGCAGACGACACGCUACUACUCUUCCAUGGCAGCAUUCAGCAAGCAGAGCUAAUUGAGUCUGCUCUCACGGCCUUCUCCGCUUUCUCUGGGCUCACUAUAAACUUCCACAAAAGCACCAUCGUUCUAGUCUCAGUGGAUGCAACUACAGCUUCUCCUAUUGCUCAGCUCCUCGGGUGCCCGGUUUCUUCUUUCCCAUGUACAUAUUUGGGCCUACCCCUCUCCUUGCACAAGAUAACACAUGGUAUGUUGCUGCCAGUUAUCCAUAAGGUUGAUCGUCGCCUCUCCGGUUGGCUGGCUACCUUCUUAUCCUUGGGAGGGCGGCUGACUCUCAUUAAUUCGGUGCUUGCGGGUAUUCUGAGUUAUUUCAUGUCUUGCUUUGCCUGGCCUAUGGAAUCUCUUGGCAAGUUGGAAGGUCUGCUGCGUGCUUUCUUCUGGCAAGGAAAAAAUACAGUUAAGGGAGGGCAAUGCUUAGUUGCUUGGGACACGGUCUCUCUACCUCGUCUCAAUGGCGGCCUGGGUGUACGACAGCUC
Molecule: ribosomal RNA, 1740 nt
Filed under: Triticum aestivum (bread wheat)
Lineage: Eukaryota; Viridiplantae; Streptophyta; Magnoliopsida; Poales; Poaceae
Description: partial small subunit ribosomal RNA
Source: RNAcentral